GCGGCACGUGCGAUCGCGCGAACUUUCACGAGCGAGCGCGGUCACCAAGCCCUGACGAGUAGGAGGGUCGCGGCGGUGAGCGCAGAAGGGCUGGCCGCGAGGCCGUCUGGAGCCGCCGUCGGUGCAGAUCUUGGUGGUAGUAGCAAAUACUCCAGCGAGGCCCUGGAGGACUGACGUGGAGAAGGGUUUCGUGUGAACAGCCGUUGCACACGAGUCAGUCGAUCCUAAGCCCUAGGCGAAAGCCGAUGUCGAUGCGGUGUAGUUUUUACGAUAAAUAGAUAGAUAGAUAGAUAGAUAAAUUUACAAAACUACAACAAUACAAACAUUGAUUCGUCAUCUMGUCGUYGAUGUCUUCUUSUCCUCAUCUCUAACUWMUUACGUCUGAGUACUCACCCGUCAGCMSACAGGGAAUCCGGUUCCU
Molecule: ribosomal RNA, 421 nt
Filed under: Echinodera andalusiensis
Lineage: Eukaryota; Metazoa; Arthropoda; Insecta; Coleoptera; Curculionidae
Description: eukaryotic LSU rRNA
Rfam family: Eukaryotic large subunit ribosomal RNA
Source: RNAcentral